Molecule: ribosomal RNA, 253 nt
Filed under: uncultured bacterium
Lineage: Bacteria
Description: partial 16S ribosomal RNA
Rfam family: Bacterial small subunit ribosomal RNA
Source: RNAcentral
UACGUAGGGUGCAAGCGUUGUCCGGAAUUAUUGGGCGUAAAGAGCUCGUAGGCGGUCUGUCACGUCGGAUGUGAAAACUCGGGGCUCAACCCCGAGCCUGCAUACGAUACGGGCAGACUUGAGUUCGGCAGGGGAGACUGGAAUUCCUGGUGUAGCGGUGAAAUGCGCAGAUAUCAGGAGGAACACCGGUGGCGAAGGCGGCCUGCUGGGCAGUUGCUGACACUGAGGCGCGACAGCGUGGGGAGCAAACAGG